UGAGGUGUAUGGCAGGGGCGCAGCCUGAUCCAGCCAUGCCGCGUGAGUGAUGAAGGCCCUAGGGUUGUAAAGCUCUUUCACCGGUGAAGAUAAUGACGGUAACCGGAGAAGAAGCCCCGGCUAACUUCGUGCCAGCAGCCGCGGUAAUAAUAAGGGGGCUAGCGUUGUUCGGAAUUACUGGGCGUAAAGCGCGCGUAGGCGGAUCGGUCAUUUAGGGGUUUAGU
This 224-nucleotide ribosomal RNA is filed under the name uncultured bacterium. RNAcentral's name for it is "partial 16S ribosomal RNA". It matches the Rfam family "Bacterial small subunit ribosomal RNA", at positions 355 to 600 of the family's 1533-position model. The record is from RNAcentral.